RNAcentral lists this long non-coding RNA (366 nucleotides) under Monodelphis domestica (gray short-tailed opossum). RNAcentral describes it as "lncRNA (ENSMODG00000049338.1)". Lineage: Eukaryota; Metazoa; Chordata; Mammalia; Didelphimorphia; Didelphidae. The record is from RNAcentral.
GUUAUAAACUAGUCAAUUUGGGUUAAAUGAUUUGCUCAGGGUCACACAAGAAGGAAGUGUCUGAGGUCAUAUUUGAACCCAGAACCUCCCAUCUUUGGUCCUGGCUCUGAACCCACUAAGUGACCUAACUGCUCCCUGUCAUUGUUUUCAGUUAAUUUUUGACUCAGUAUCCCCAUUUGUUUCAGCCUCUGCUCACAGAAACAUAGCAUUGAAAUUUAUGCGUUUCCUUCCCAGAGGCAGGCACGGUGUAAAGGACAGACGACGGAAGCCAGGGCUUUUCCCAGGGACUAGGAACACGGCCAACUGUUGGCAAUUUUGCUGGAAAUUCGCAUCAAAAUUAUGUAGCCAGUGUUUGAGAUGAAAAAA